AUACGUAGGGUGCGAGCGUUGUCCGGAAUUACUGGGCGUAAAGAGCUCGUAGGUGGUUUGUCGCGUCGUCUGUGAAAUUCCGGGGCUUAACUCCGGGCGUGCAGGCGAUACGGGCAUAACUUGAGUACUGUAGGGGAGACUGGAAUUCCUGGUGUAGCGGUGAAAUGCGCAGAUAUCAGGAGGAACACCGGUGGCGAAGGCGGGUAUCUGGGCAGUAACGGACGCUGAGGAGCGAAAGCAUGGGUAGCGAACAGGAUUAGAUACCCUGGUAGUCCAUGCCGUAAACGGUGGGCGCUAGGUGUAGGGGUCUUCCACGACUUCUGUGCCGUAGCUAACGCAUUAAGCGCCCCGCCUGGGGAGUACGGCCGCAAGGCUAAAACUCAAAUGAAUUGACGGGG
Molecule: ribosomal RNA, 398 nt
Filed under: uncultured bacterium
Lineage: Bacteria
Description: partial 16S ribosomal RNA
Rfam family: Bacterial small subunit ribosomal RNA
Source: RNAcentral